Molecule: small nucleolar RNA, 73 nt
Organism: Cyprinus carpio carpio
Lineage: Eukaryota; Metazoa; Chordata; Actinopteri; Cypriniformes; Cyprinidae
Source: Ensembl
GCUGUGAUGAACUGAGUCUUUAGUCGGAUACCCCUUCACUCUAAUCAUGAGUGAGACGUCCAGUCUGAAAAGC